This is a long non-coding RNA of Zophobas morio, 166 nucleotides long. RefSeq lists it as uncharacterized. The transcript has 3 exons. Lineage: Eukaryota; Metazoa; Arthropoda; Insecta; Coleoptera; Tenebrionidae. The record is from RefSeq and is a predicted model, not a curated record.
GUUAACGCUCUUGAAACUUUUGAGUUUUUAAUUUCUGGCGCGGGAAUUCUGCAUUCGGACAAUCGCUUCGAUUCACUUUCUUCCUUUUCUGAAUGGCUUCAAUUUUUACAAAAAAAUUACGGUCUCGUGCUGGAUCGAGUUGAGCAACUUUUGGCCUCUCAGAUUU